AUCUUCCACACUUAUCCUCUCCUCUCCCUCUCCUUCUCCGGUUCUCCCUCUCCUAUCUCUCUCUCACCGGUCGGCAUGGAGCAGCGGUAACUCCACGAAAAGGCCCGGCGGCGGUGACUGCAAAGCGAGCAUGGCUCGCGGCAACUCAACAAAGCGGCCCACCAGCGACGGCUGCAAAGCGGGAAGGAGGGGCGUAGCGGCGGCUCAGUGAAGGGGUUUGGCGCAUCUCCUCCUCUGCUCCCGCCCGCCUCUACCAACUAAGCCCAUAGUCGACGAGCCUCGAGAGGCCGCAUCAGAAGCCAACAGCCUUGGGUGGUGACGACGACCUCGAUGAUGUGACGAUUUCUAGGAACAAGCUCGGGGGAGGUGGAUCCAUCGCCGGUGAGCUUGGGGGAGGCCGACGAUCCGUUGCCAACAAGCUCAGGGGAGGUGGAUCAUCGUCUGCGGGCUCAGGGGAGGCCGAUUAUUCAUCAGCUUGUUUGUAACCUAUUGUUUGUUCUAGUGGAUCUAAUUAUAGCUGUGUUCGAUGUUGUUCUUGUUUAUACUUGUCUUUUCUUGUUUGUCUAUGGAUCUGAUUCUAAUUUGAAUAUGAUGCUUGCAUGCAAUG
Molecule: small RNA, 607 nt
Filed under: Oryza sativa Japonica Group (Japanese rice)
Lineage: Eukaryota; Viridiplantae; Streptophyta; Magnoliopsida; Poales; Poaceae
Description: sRNA Os04g0460900
Source: RNAcentral